GGGGCGCUAGCUCAAUUGCGUAGAGCAUCUGGCUUUUACCCAGACGGUUUCGGGUUCGAGUCCCGGGCGUCCCACCA
This 77-nucleotide transfer RNA is filed under the name Syntrophomonadaceae bacterium. RNAcentral describes it as "tRNA-Lys". It matches the Rfam family "tRNA". From Rfam's summary of the family: Transfer RNA (tRNA) molecules are approximately 80 nucleotides in length. Their secondary structure includes four short double-helical elements and three loops (D, anti-codon, and T loops). The record is from RNAcentral. Lineage: Bacteria; Bacillati; Bacillota; Clostridia; Eubacteriales; Syntrophomonadaceae.